RNAcentral lists this long non-coding RNA (334 nucleotides) under Elaeis guineensis (African oil palm). Its description in RNAcentral is "long non-coding RNA (EGUI_LNC015834)". The record is from RNAcentral. Lineage: Eukaryota; Viridiplantae; Streptophyta; Magnoliopsida; Arecales; Arecaceae.
CUUAUGUGUUGUUUAACUUUCCGUUGAUUUCUAUGUUCCUGACUGGAUUAUUUGGCAGCAGGUCAUAACCCUUUUAUCGAGAGAGGUUGUGUCAGGUUGGACAAUUUUUAUUUUCUGGACAAUCGCAUACGCGACAAUGCACGGCCCCGGUUAAUUUGGUAUCGGCAAUUCUUUCAGCCCCAGUUUAGUACUUAAGCCGCUUGCGAUAGGUUGUAUGAAAAAAUAUAGAUAGCCAGCGAAGCUUUUUGACUUUGUUGUUUUCUCAGAUUUGCUUUUUAAGACCGUUGAGGCUGUCCACAAUUUUGGUCUUUCUGGGCUUCUUCAGCUGGGCCCC